RNAcentral lists this ribosomal RNA (820 nucleotides) under Eurotiomycetes sp. TC87. Its description in RNAcentral is "eukaryotic LSU rRNA". The stretch from base 492 to 820 matches the Rfam family "Eukaryotic large subunit ribosomal RNA", at positions 1 to 325 of the family's 3401-position model. The record is from RNAcentral. Lineage: Eukaryota; Fungi; Ascomycota; Eurotiomycetes.
UACUGAGUGCGGGCCCUCUGGGUCCAACCUCCCACCCGUGUAUACUGUACCCUGUUGCUUCGGCGGGCCCGCCGUUCUGGCCGCCGGGGGGCAUCCGCCCCCGGGCCCGCGCCCGCCGAAGACACCCUGAACGCUGUCUGAAGAUUGCAGUCUGAGCGAUAAGCACAAAUUAGUUAAAACUUUCAACAACGGAUCUCUUGGUUCCGGCAUCGAUGAAGAACGCAGCGAAAUGCGAUAAGUAAUGUGAAUUGCAGAAUUCAGUGAAUCAUCGAGUCUUUGAACGCACAUUGCGCCCCCUGGUAUUCCGGGGGGCAUGCCUGUCCGAGCGUCAUUGCUGCCCUCAAGCCCGGCUUGGUCUUGGGUGCCGCCCCCCCGGGGGCGCGCCCGAAAGGCAGCGGCGGCACCGCGUCCGGUCCUCGAGCGUAUGGGGCUCUGUCACCCGCUUCGUAGGCCCGGCCGGCGCCAGCCGACCCCCCAAUCUUUCUUUAGGUUGACCUCGGAUCAGGUAGGGAUACCCGCUGAACUUAAGCAUAUCAAUAAGCGGAGGAAAAGAAACCAACAGGGAUUGCCCUAGUAACGGCGAGUGAAGCGGCAAGAGCUCAAAUUUGAAAGCUGGCUCCUUCGGGGCCCGCAUUGUAAUUUGCAGAGGAUGCUUCGGGAGUGGCCCCCGUCUAAGUGCCCUGGAACGGGCCGUCAUAGAGGGUGAGAAUCCCGUAUGGGAUGGGGUGUCCACGCCCGUGUGAAGCUCCUUCGACGAGUCGAGUUGUUUGGGGAAUGCAGCUCUAAAUGGGUGGUAAAUUUCAUCUAAAGCUAAAUAUUG